RNAcentral lists this long non-coding RNA (1225 nucleotides) under Anas platyrhynchos platyrhynchos (common mallard). Its description in RNAcentral is "lncRNA (ENSAPLG00000028449.1)". Lineage: Eukaryota; Metazoa; Chordata; Aves; Anseriformes; Anatidae. The record is from RNAcentral.
AUGAUAAUGUGCUUUUGGUCCUGGAGUUUGACUCUGGUGACUACAACAGGAAAGGACCUGGAAUCUGUGUCUCCUGUCUUCCAGAUCACGCUGGACAAAAUGGAACCUUUUCUUCACAUGCAGAGUGUGGAUACUAUAUUGUGCUUUUCUCUUUCCAGUGGACCCUUUGAGUCUCAACUACCCCGAAUGCCACUCUGGUCAGUCCUAGAACAUCUUUCCUGUUGAUAUUUUAUGUAGUUCUGUUUGAAUGUAUGCCUCAUUAAGCAACAAAGCUCCUGAGUGGUUCUCAGAAAUUAGUUUUCCAAGUGGAAACCUGAGGCAUUCACUGCUUCUCCUGUGGCUGUUUUUACUGAUGAAAGCCAUAGUUAAAUCUAUGGUACAGUAACGUACUAAGGCCCCUGCAAAGUUCAGAGUUGCUCUGUGGUAACCACACCUCAAAUAGAAGAGUAGAGCAAGAAGAGGAAUGGCUUGGAUGAAACAAAACGUGCCCAGGAAAGUCUUGUUUGUUAACAGUGCUGCUAACCUACUAGAAGUACAGUACAACCAAGUACUUUAAAAGCACUGCAUUGAUUUUAAACCUUUUGAGCAAGGGAUUGUUAGUGUUUGGUGGGCUGUAGCCAUGGGUCUGUCUUUCUUUCCUCUUGCUGAUGUGCUCUUUCACAGCCAAGCUGAACCAAGGGAAAGCCAUGGGACUACCCUUUACAGGUCACCCCCUCAAAGUCUCUUCUCCUUCAGCUUGCCAACAUAUAGGUUCCUUUUCCUCUCAGGCUUAUGAAGAAACUCAGGUGACAUGUGCCAUUCCUCUCCCAGCAUCUCAACAGGGAGGGGGCAGGACUGGAAAAGAGUUAGGGGAAAAAGGACAAGGAUAUUAGAGGCAUGGAGCAGCUUCUGCUGGAGGAAUGGUGGGAUAAGCCAAGGUGCUUGAGCACACAAUAGAGAGGGAAACAGGGAGAGGCAUGGAAAAAUACAGAUCUGUGGCUCAAUACGGGAGAUAGGGGUUAUUAGAUGAAGCCAGAGUGGCUGCUUCAAUCAAACAAAAAACAGUGGUUCCUCACAACAGAAGCAGCAAUGCACUGUAACUGCUUGUCGCAGGUUGCUGUGAGUGCUAAAAGUUUGUUUGAGAACUGCGUAAGUUUAUAGAUGAUUAUGACAGACACAGAAACUUGUUGAAGUGUGGAUUGAUAAAAUCUGGGAGAGUAUUUUGGGAAAGUACACUUAUAAGCAG